AAACGCUUCUAAAGGAUAAUAGUUCAUCCGUGGUCUAGAACCAAAAAUUCGUCGUGCUGCACUCAGUAGC
This 70-nucleotide transfer RNA is filed under the name Tachysurus nitidus. RNAcentral describes it as "tRNA-Leu". The record is from RNAcentral. Lineage: Eukaryota; Metazoa; Chordata; Actinopteri; Siluriformes; Bagridae.